This is a transfer RNA of Fusarium oxysporum f. sp. raphani 54005, 121 nucleotides long. It matches the Rfam family "tRNA". Rfam says of the family: Transfer RNA (tRNA) molecules are approximately 80 nucleotides in length. The record is from Rfam. NCBI's taxonomy places the organism in Eukaryota, Fungi, Ascomycota, Sordariomycetes, Hypocreales, Nectriaceae.
GCCAAGGUGGCCGAGCGGUCUAAGGCGCCAGACUCAAGAUCUGAUUGGUUGGAUCUUAUCCUGUUCAGCAGGAAGUAUUCUGGUAUCGAAAGAUGCUUGGGUUCGAAUCCCAACCUUGGCA